UUCUAGCCCAGAUAGGAGUGAAAAUCCUUGUUCCAAUGCGAGGUGUUGCCUCGAAUGGAGCAAGAUUGCAACGGAUAGCUGGAAAGCGC
RNAcentral lists this non-coding RNA (89 nucleotides) under unclassified sequences. RNAcentral describes it as "Flavo-1 RNA". It matches the Rfam family "Flavo-1 RNA". RNAcentral also lists the same sequence under 1 other name. The record is from RNAcentral.